Molecule: long non-coding RNA, 91 nt
Organism: Thalassophryne amazonica
Lineage: Eukaryota; Metazoa; Chordata; Actinopteri; Batrachoidiformes; Batrachoididae
Exons: 3
Source: RefSeq, a predicted model, not a curated record
UCGGGUUUCACCUGUUCGGCCUGAUUCGGACUGUUUUGGGCUGAUUUGCCCAACUUCGUGUUAUGUGUGAAGGGGUCCUAACUGAAGUUAC